ACGGGUGAGUAACGCGUGGUCAACCUACCGUUGAGUGGGGGAUAACUAGCCGAAAGGUUAGCUAAUACCGCAUACGUCUCCGAGGGGCAUCCCUUGGCGAUAAAAGGAGCAAUCCGCUCGAUGACGGGACCGCGUCCCAUUAGCUAGAUGGUGGGGUAACGGCCUACCAUGGCACCGAUGGGUAGCUGGUUUGAGAGAGCGACCAGCCACACUGGGACUGAGACACGGCCCAG
RNAcentral lists this ribosomal RNA (233 nucleotides) under uncultured bacterium. RNAcentral's name for it is "partial 16S ribosomal RNA". It matches the Rfam family "Bacterial small subunit ribosomal RNA", at positions 102 to 334 of the family's 1533-position model. The record is from RNAcentral.